Molecule: ribosomal RNA, 346 nt
Filed under: Klebsiella pneumoniae
Lineage: Bacteria; Pseudomonadati; Pseudomonadota; Gammaproteobacteria; Enterobacterales; Enterobacteriaceae
Also listed under: 1 other name
Description: bacterial SSU rRNA
Rfam family: Bacterial small subunit ribosomal RNA
Source: RNAcentral
AAAUUGAAGAGUUUGAUCAUGGCUCAGAUUGAACGCUGGCGGCAGGCCUAACACAUGCAAGUCGAGCGGUAGCACAGAGAGCUUGCUCUCGGGUGACGAGCGGCGGACGGGUGAGUAAUGUCUGGGAAACUGCCUGAUGGAGGGGGAUAACUACUGGAAACGGUAGCUAAUACCGCAUAAUGUCGCAAGACCAAAGUGGGGGACCUUCGGGCCUCAUGCCAUCAGAUGUGCCCAGAUGGGAUUAGCUAGUAGGUGGGGUAACGGCUCACCUAGGCGACGAUCCCUAGCUGGUCUGAGAGGAUGACCAGCCACACUGGAACUGAGACACGGUCCAGACUCCUACGGG